GCUCUUUUAGCUCAGUUGGUUAGAGCGUCGUGCUUAUACUCACCCUAUACUAAAGUCACGCGAAGGUCGCGAGUUCGAUCCUCGCAUAGAGCA
This is a transfer RNA of Mucor circinelloides, 93 nucleotides long. It matches the Rfam family "tRNA". From Rfam's summary of the family: Transfer RNA (tRNA) molecules are approximately 80 nucleotides in length. Their secondary structure includes four short double-helical elements and three loops (D, anti-codon, and T loops). The record is from Rfam. Lineage: Eukaryota; Fungi; Mucoromycota; Mucoromycetes; Mucorales; Mucoraceae.